GAUUAGCAGCAGCACCAGCAGCACAGUCGGUGGCGGCUGGGACGAUGGAGGAGGAGGGUGACCCUCUCCAGGGCGUGUUUUGGACAGGAACCAACCCCACCCUGGAAGGAUCUCCCCCACUGCACAGUUAGCAGGAGUUCCAGCUUCUGCCUCCAGACACAGACCCAGAACGGGUAGAUGCUCUGACUGUCGGUGCUCUCCUGCUUUGUGUCCACCUGUGCUUAGACUUGGAAGAAAGGACCGUGGAAGAGGCCACACAGGCCCGCUGAGCUGCAGGCCCCAAGUCCCUGGCAAACCUCCCUGCACGGUGGUCUUGCCCACGACUCAGUGUGGGGUCCCGGGCCUGGGAGUCUGUAUUUCUAGUGGGUUCCCGGGCAGCCUGUGUGCUUUGGGUCCUUGAACCUCAGGCAAGGACUCCAGCUGCCCCCAGGCUCAGCUUCCGCCCACCUGCCCCAGGAGCUGAGAGCAGAGACAGGCUCUCGCAUUCCCUUCCAACACCCCAAGCUCCCCCCGCACUGGAUCCUCUCUGUCCCCCCUCCACCCCACCUCCCACCCCCGACUGGGUGCCCCCAUGCUGAGCCUCCCUGUCUCCCCACCCACUCGGAUCAGCUGUCCUCCCCAGCCCUGCCCUCCGGUCUGGGUCUGCGCACGUGGUGGGAGCAAGCUGCGGUGUGCAGCUGAUGUGCCAAUGUCCCCUCCCACUGUGGCUCCGCCUCGCCAGCCUUCACACACCUGUGGGCCCAGUGUCCCUGACACCCGCAGGCUGGGCCUUGCUCUCUGCAGAGAAGCUUCUAAAAGUGACUUCACCUCAAAGGGAGAACACCAACCACACUGACCAGGCCGACCUUGACGGUCAGUGCAGAGUGGCUGUCCAGCCUGGCUCCCUGGCCUUCUCUAGAGAGGCUCGGUGGCCACCUGGGGGCAGCUGGCAGGCUUUUCCUGCUUUGUAUCUUUUAAAAAUAUUUGAUGUUCUGCCAAGUAGAAAUCAGUUGAUGUAUUUUUUUCUCUAGUUCCCAGGUUACUUUUACUACGUCAUUUUAAUUUAAUUGUAUAUUACUUAUAUAAAAAUAGGCAUUCGUAGGAGAGAAUUAUUUCCUCUGAAUUGAUGACAAGUAAUUUCUCUUUUAAAUGUUUUUCUUUCAUAAUACACCAAAACUUAUCUGAAAUGUAAUAAAAGGAUGAUAGGUAAUUAAAU
Molecule: long non-coding RNA, 1195 nt
Filed under: Sus scrofa (pig)
Lineage: Eukaryota; Metazoa; Chordata; Mammalia; Artiodactyla; Suidae
Description: lncRNA (ENSSSCG00000051418.2)
Source: RNAcentral